This 229-nucleotide small RNA is filed under the name Echinops telfairi (small Madagascar hedgehog). RNAcentral describes it as "7SK RNA (ENSETEG00000024444.1)". It matches the Rfam family "7SK RNA", at positions 1 to 245 of the family's 331-position model. From Rfam's summary of the family: 7SK was discovered as an abundant small nuclear RNA in the mid-70s but a possible function has only recently been suggested. Two independent studies have found that 7SK RNA binds the CDK9/cyclin T complex (known as elongation factor P-TEFb). Lineage: Eukaryota; Metazoa; Chordata; Mammalia; Afrosoricida; Tenrecidae. The record is from RNAcentral.
GGAUGUGAGGGCAAUCUGUCUCCAACAUCUGUCACCGCAUUGAUCGCCAGGGUUGAUUCGACUGAGCUGGCUGGCUACAAGGGUGUCCCUUCCUCCCUCACCGCUCCAUGUGCGUCCCUCCCGAAGCUGCACACUCAGAUGAAGAGGAUGACCUUCCCCAAUAGGAGGACCAUCCUUCAGUCAAGGGCACAUCCCUGCUAGAACACCACCAAACAAGUCUCAAGAGUUG